RNAcentral lists this ribosomal RNA (406 nucleotides) under uncultured bacterium. RNAcentral describes it as "partial 16S ribosomal RNA". It matches the Rfam family "Bacterial small subunit ribosomal RNA", at positions 30 to 526 of the family's 1533-position model. The record is from RNAcentral.
AUUGAACGCUGGCGGCAGGCCUAACACAUGCAAGUCGAACGAGUGGUGGACGGGUGUGAAAUGUCGGGGAAAUGGCCCUACGGAGGGGGAUAAUUACUGGAAACGGUAGUUAAUACUGCAUACCUUCGGCUGCUCCCAGAGGUGACUAGCUAGUAGGUGGGGUCACGGCUCACCUAGGCGACGAUCCCUCGUUGGUCUGAGAGGAUGAACAGCCACAUUGGAACUGAGACACGGUCCAGACUAGUACGGGAGGCAGCAGUGGGGAAGAUUGCACAAUGGGCGCAAGCCUGAUGCAGCCAUGCCGCGGGUGUGAAGAAGGCCUUCGGAUUGUAAAGUGCUGUCAGAGGGGAGGCGUUACCCGCGGAGAAAGCACCGGCUAACUCCGUGCCAGCAGCCGCGGUAAUAC